GCUCAGGACGAACGCUGGCGGCGUGCCUAAUACAUGCAAGUCGAACGCUUCUUUUCCCACCGGAGCUUGCUCCACCGGGAAAAGAGGAGUGGCGAACGGGUGAGUAACACGUGGGUAACCUGCCCAUCAGAAGGGGAUAACACUUGGAAACAGGUGCUAAUACCGUAUAACAAUCGAAACCGCAUGGUUUCGUUUUGAAAGGCGCUUUACGGUGCCGCUGAUGGAUGGACCCGCGGUGCAUUAGCUAGUUGGUGAGGUAACGGCUCACCAAGGCCACGAUGCAUAGCCGACCUGAGAGGGUGAUCGGCCACAUUGGGACUGAGACACGGCCCAAACUCCUACGGGAGGCAGCAGUAGGGAAUCUUCGGCAAUGGACGAAAGUCUGACCGAGCAACGCCGCGUGAGUGAAGAAGGUUUUCGGAUCGUAAAACUCUGUUGUUAGAGAAGAACAAGGGUGAGAGUAACUGUUCACCCCUUGACGGUAUCUAACCAGAAAGCCACGGCUAACUACGUGCCAGCAGCCGCGGUAAUACGUAGGUGGCAAGCGUUGUCCGGAUUUAUUGGGCGUAAAGCGAGCGCAGGCGGUUUCUUAAGUCUGAUGUGAAAGCCCCCGGCUCAACCGGGGAGGGUCAUUGGAAACUGGGAGACUUGAGUGCAGAAGAGGAGAGUGGAAUUCCAUGUGUAGCGGUGAAAUGCGUAGAUAUAUGGAGGAACACCAGUGGCGAAGGCGGCUCUCUGGUCUGUAACUGACGCUGAGGCUCGAAAGCGUGGGGAGCAAACAGGAUUAGAUAC
Molecule: ribosomal RNA, 792 nt
Filed under: Enterococcus mundtii
Lineage: Bacteria; Bacillati; Bacillota; Bacilli; Lactobacillales; Enterococcaceae
Description: bacterial SSU rRNA
Rfam family: Bacterial small subunit ribosomal RNA
Source: RNAcentral